AAGACGCGAAUUUGGAUAUAUUUUUAGC
This 28-nucleotide non-coding RNA is filed under the name Bombyx mori (domestic silkworm). The record is from RNAcentral. Lineage: Eukaryota; Metazoa; Arthropoda; Insecta; Lepidoptera; Bombycidae.